This 69-nucleotide transfer RNA is filed under the name Euphaea yayeyamana. RNAcentral describes it as "tRNA-Phe". It matches the Rfam family "tRNA". From Rfam's summary of the family: Transfer RNA (tRNA) molecules are approximately 80 nucleotides in length. Their secondary structure includes four short double-helical elements and three loops (D, anti-codon, and T loops). Further hydrogen bonds mediate the characteristic L-shaped molecular structure. tRNAs have two regions of fundamental functional importance: the anti-codon, which is responsible for specific mRNA codon recognition, and the 3' end, to which the tRNAs corresponding amino acid is attached (by aminoacyl-tRNA synthetases). tRNAs cope with the degeneracy of the genetic code in two manners: having more than one tRNA (with a specific anti-codon) for a particular amino acid; and 'wobble' base-pairing, i.e. permitting non-standard base-pairing at the 3rd anti-codon position. The record is from RNAcentral. Lineage: Eukaryota; Metazoa; Arthropoda; Insecta; Odonata; Euphaeidae.
AUUUGAAUAGCUUAAUUUUAAAGCUCCACAUUGAAGCUGUGGUUAUGAUAGGCUUAUUAUCUUCAAAUA